Molecule: unclassified non-coding RNA, 340 nt
Filed under: rhizosphere metagenome
Description: partial ribosomal RNA internal transcribed spacer region
Source: RNAcentral
GUAGGUGAACCUGCGGAAGGAUCAUUAUAAGUACCUCUCCUCGACCGGGGUAAUAGCCGGAAAUCGACAUCGAGGUUGGGGGGUAAAAUUCGUCGGGUCUGUACUCCGAUCUGUUGCCUUGAGGAAAUGAUCGUAGCUGCCCAUUAAGGGUAACUCUCAUCUUCACUCUUGGGACGGGGGCGAGAGGGCUGGCUGUCUACCAUCCUUGUUUUUCUAAAGAACUAUUGUUUCCUCGGCGGGCUUGCCCGCCAAUGGGGACCCUAAUAAUCCUUUGUAAUCUUGUUUCAAAUCAGAAAUAUUCCAAAUAUUAAAACUUUCAACAAUGGAUCUCUUGGCUCUG